UUACUCGGUUUCCAAGGUCUUUCAAUGACAAGGAUGUGCUUGGCUAAACGAAAGAUAAAGCGGCCACAGUUUUCCUCUGUAACCACCCUCGGAAUGAGUCAGGCUCCCACCUUCCAGCCACAGGACCUCAAAGCUCUGAGGAAGUCGUCGGAAUGUUUACAGAGCAACCGGGGUGGGGGUUGGGGGGGACAAGUCCACCUCGAGCCAUUUCUCGUUAGCAGGAGCACUGGUCACCACUCUGAGGAUGACGUCCGAGGCCUCUUUGACCAGUACAACAAGUUUGUAAAGCAAAUACUGAGCUGGAGAAAUCAUUGAGCAGAGUGGGCUCAAGGAGGCACAAUGAAUCACAGCUUCAGGGUGGGUGGCCGAAAAUUGGGACCCCACUGCAGACAACGGUGGCCAGAAAGAGGUGCCUGCAACCCCAGCUUUAUCCUAAGGGAGAUCCAAGCUGCAAGAGGAUCCCAAUUACCAGACUCAUUAGCCAGGCAACUUUCUGUAGGAUGAGCAAGAAUAUUAAUGGGUUAUUUGCUUUUAGUUCGGGGCUGAAGAAGCACCAACCCGCCAGGAAGAAAAAUGGGACGUCUUUGAAACCUGUGCACAAGAGCACCUGGAGCCACGUCUGCUGUGAAGCCACACACUUUGAUGAGACCAAAAGCUCCUGUCAACUCAGGAUUCAUUGCAUAACCAAGACACAAAAAUAUUUUCCUAAGAUGUCAGGAUGGACUUCCUCUCCUUCUGGAGGAGCAACGCGACUUUUGUUUGUGGGGCUGUGGGGCUCCUUGCUUCUCAUCUGCUCGGCGGAAUUGGCCAGAGCAGCAUGUGCGGAGCCCGGAGCUGGGGCCUGCAGAGAUGAUUACAGGAUCUGCCACGAGCCGGACAAAUGAGGUUGGUGCAGCGUCUGAACGCCCCGAGUCGUAAAUCUCUCAUUAUAAGAGCCAUUAGCCGUGCGCUGCACUUUGGGGGGCUGGGGAGAGAUCCGCUGUCACUGGACCAGACCUGAGAGCCCAGCAUUAAAGGAAACUCCCAGGCUCGGAGACACUCACACCACGGCCAUUACCCUGCAAGCCUCCUUAGCAAACCGAAGCCGCCCCUCUGCAAAACUUUCCAACAGCUUGUCAGCUAUGCGAGACGGUAAGAACAAGGUUGCUAUUCUCCCCGGUGUGCUUUCUGAGUUCUUUCAUCUUUUGUUUCUGCUAUUAUUGUCAUUUAUUGGGACGAGGAUCUCGGUACUCCCUGUCCCCUAUUAUCCCCGCCUGCUGGAGAGUAGACCUGAAAUUUAGGCAAGAACCAGGGAAACUGUCCCCUUAGAUGAGUAGGCACAUAAGAAUCCAAACCAGCCUUAAAUGUCAGCUUGUCCACACCUACCACAAUGCAAAACAAAGGACACAGAGGCUCGGAGAGGGGCGGGGCUUCCCAGAGGCCCCAGCUGGAGAGUGGCACAGGCAGCUCACUCAGGUCUAAUAAAGGCUCCAGAGCUCUGCCUCUUACUCUAGCUCUCUUCUGACCACAGCCCUUCCUCCUGCUGGGCCAAGCUCACUCGCACUUUCUCUCUCUCUCUCUCUGCAAUUGAUUUUUUCUUAAUUUAAUAGCUUUAUUGAGAUAUAAUUCAUAUACCAUAAAGCAUACCCCUUUAUGUUUGCAAUUCAGUGGGUUUUAUAUAUUCACCAGGUUGUGCAACCAUCACCACUAAUUCCAGGUCAUUUUCAUCAUCCUCAGUAGAAGCCCCCUACCUGUUAGAAGUUCCUCCCAUAACUGCUUUGCCCCAGCCCCUGGCAACCACUGAUCUACUUUCUCUGUCUGGAUUUGCCUGUUCUGGA
Microcebus murinus (gray mouse lemur) is the source of this 1817-nucleotide non-coding RNA. The record is from RefSeq and is a predicted model, not a curated record. NCBI's taxonomy places the organism in Eukaryota, Metazoa, Chordata, Mammalia, Primates, Cheirogaleidae.